UACGGAAGGGGCAAGCGUUGUUCGGAAUCAUUGGGCGUAAAGGGCGCGUAGGCGGUAGCACAAGUCAGUUGUGAAAUCUCCGGGCUUAACUCGGAAAGGUCAACUGAUACUGUGCGACUAGAGUGCAGAAGGGGCAACUGGAAUUCUCGGUGUAGCGGUGAAAUGCGUAGAUAUCGAGAGGAACACCUGCGGCGAAGGCGGGUUGCUGGGCUGACACUGACGCUGAGGCGCGAAAGCCAGGGGAGCGAACGGG
This 253-nucleotide ribosomal RNA is filed under the name uncultured bacterium. RNAcentral's name for it is "partial 16S ribosomal RNA". It matches the Rfam family "Bacterial small subunit ribosomal RNA", at positions 524 to 776 of the family's 1533-position model. The record is from RNAcentral.